AAUAAGUGUAGUUUUGCACUGUUCAUGUCCAACAUUUAACCGUCCGUCUUAUUUGAAAAAAUUUAUGAUUAGUAUUUUUUUUAUUAGUUGAUAAAACAUGAAUAGUACUUUAUGUGUGACUAAGUUUUUUUAAUUUUUUCAUAAAUUUUUUAAAUAAGACGGAUGGUCGAACGUUGGACACGGAUAUCCAUGGUUGCGCUUAUU
Molecule: non-coding RNA, 204 nt
Organism: Oryza punctata
Lineage: Eukaryota; Viridiplantae; Streptophyta; Magnoliopsida; Poales; Poaceae
Source: Rfam